RNAcentral lists this ribosomal RNA (251 nucleotides) under uncultured prokaryote. RNAcentral's name for it is "partial 16S rRNA". It matches the Rfam family "Bacterial small subunit ribosomal RNA", at positions 525 to 775 of the family's 1533-position model. The record is from RNAcentral.
ACAGAGGUGGCGAGCGUUGUUCGGAUUUACUGGGCGUAAAGGGCGCGUAGGCGGCGGAGUGUGUCGGGUGUGAAAUCCCAGGGCCCAACCCUGGAAGUGCGCCCGAAACUGCUCCGCUCGAGUGCGGGAGGGGAGAUCGGAAUGCAGGGUGUGGCGGUGAAAUGAGUUGAUAUCCUGCAGAACAGCGGUGGAGAGGGCGGAACUCAGGAACGCAACUGACGGUGUUGCGGGUAAGUCGGUGGAGCAAGCAG